GGAGGAGGUAGGAGAAAGGUUGAAUAUAAUAGAUGACCCUCUCAUGAUCCUUGCAAGUAAGAAGCCUUGUGCCGUGGGGACAUCUUUUUGUUUGUUAUCAUUUUCCUUUAUUCAUUUUGUUAAACAUAAGAGAAUCAAAUUCUGUUAAAUCCUAUAAAACCUAAUUUUUCCCAAAUAAUCUAAUCAAUCACAUACAAAUUACUCAACUCAACUCAACUCAA
This 221-nucleotide unclassified non-coding RNA is filed under the name Hevea brasiliensis (rubber tree). Lineage: Eukaryota; Viridiplantae; Streptophyta; Magnoliopsida; Malpighiales; Euphorbiaceae. The record is from RNAcentral.